Molecule: ribosomal RNA, 425 nt
Filed under: uncultured bacterium
Lineage: Bacteria
Description: partial 16S ribosomal RNA
Rfam family: Bacterial small subunit ribosomal RNA
Source: RNAcentral
GUGGGGAAUAUUGGACAAUGGGCGCAAGCCUGAUCCAGCCAUGCCGCGUGAGUGAUGAAGGCCUUAGGGUUGUAAAGCUCUUUCAGUGGGGACGAUAAUGACGGUACCCACAGAAGAAGCCCCGGCUAACUUCGUGCCAGCAGCCGCGGUAAUACGAAGGGGGCUAGCGUUGUUCGGAUUUACUGGACGUAAAGCGCACGUAGGCGGAUCGUUAAGUCGGGGGUGAAAUCCUGGAGCUCAACUCCAGAACUGCCUUCGAUACUGGCGAUCUUGAGUCCGGAAGAGGUGAGUGGAACUCCUAGUGUAGAGGUGGAAUUCGUAGAUAUUAGGAAGAACACCAGUGGCGAAGGCGGCUCACUGGUCCGGUACUGACGCUGAGGUGCGAAAGCGUGGGGAGCAAACAGGAUUAGAAACCCGGGUAGUCC